GAUGAACGCUGGCGGCGUGCCUAAUACAUGCAAGUCGAGCGAACAGACGAGGAGCUUGCUCCUCUGACGUUAGCGGCGGACGGGUGAGUAACACGUGGAUAACCUACCUAUAAGACUGGGAUAACUUCGGGAAACCGGAGCUAAUACCGGAUAAUAUAUUGAACCGCAUGGUUCAAUAGUGAAAGACGGUUUUGCUGUCACUUAUAGAUGGAUCCGCGCCGCAUUAUCUAGUUGGUAAGGUAACGGCUUACCAAGGCAACGAUGCGUACCCGACCUGAGAGGAGGAUCGGCCAACGGGGAGAGAGGACCCGGGCCAACAUCCUACGGGAGGCAGGGGGGGGGAUUCUUCGGCAGGGGGCAAAAGCGGAACGGGCAAACGCGGGGGGGGGGAGAAAGGUCUUCGGAGUGUAAAACUUUGUUAUAAGGGAAAAAAAAAUGUGUAAGUAACUAUGCCCUUUUGGCGGGACCCAAAACAAAAGACCCGGGUAAACUCGUG
RNAcentral lists this ribosomal RNA (496 nucleotides) under uncultured bacterium. Its description in RNAcentral is "partial 16S ribosomal RNA". It matches the Rfam family "Bacterial small subunit ribosomal RNA", at positions 28 to 507 of the family's 1533-position model. The record is from RNAcentral.